AGGACGAACGCUGGCGGCGUGCUUAACACAUGCAAGUCGAGCGGUAAGGCCCUUUCGGGGGUACACGAGCGGCGAACGGGUGAGUAACACGUGGGUGACCUGCCCUUAGCUCUGGGAUAAGCCUGGGAAACUGGGUCUAAUACCGGAUAUGACCUCGCGAUGCAUGUCGUGGGGUGGAAAGCCUUGUGCGGCUAGGGAUGGGCCCGCGGCCUAUCAGCUUGUUGGUGGGGUGAUGGCCUACCAAGGCGACGACGGGUAGCCGGCCUGAGAGGGCGACCGGCCACACUGGGACUGAGACACGGCCCAGACUCCUACGGGAGGCAGCAGUGGGGAAUCUUGCGCAAUGGGCGAAAGCCUGACGCAGCGACGCCGCGUGAGGGAUGACGGCCUUCGGGUUGUAAACCUCUUUCAGCCCUGACGAAGCGAAAGUGACGGUAGGGCGAGAAGAAGCACCGGCCAACUACGUGCCAGCAGCCGCGGUAA
RNAcentral lists this ribosomal RNA (483 nucleotides) under uncultured bacterium. RNAcentral describes it as "SSU rRNA". It matches the Rfam family "Bacterial small subunit ribosomal RNA", at positions 26 to 523 of the family's 1533-position model. The record is from RNAcentral.